Molecule: transfer RNA, 82 nt
Filed under: Rhipicephalus microplus (southern cattle tick)
Lineage: Eukaryota; Metazoa; Arthropoda; Arachnida; Ixodida; Ixodidae
Description: tRNA-Ser
Rfam family: tRNA
About the family: Transfer RNA (tRNA) molecules are approximately 80 nucleotides in length. Their secondary structure includes four short double-helical elements and three loops (D, anti-codon, and T loops). Further hydrogen bonds mediate the characteristic L-shaped molecular structure. tRNAs have two regions of fundamental functional importance: the anti-codon, which is responsible for specific mRNA codon recognition, and the 3' end, to which the tRNAs corresponding amino acid is attached (by aminoacyl-tRNA synthetases). tRNAs cope with the degeneracy of the genetic code in two manners: having more than one tRNA (with a specific anti-codon) for a particular amino acid; and 'wobble' base-pairing, i.e. permitting non-standard base-pairing at the 3rd anti-codon position.
Source: Rfam by way of RNAcentral
GGCGAGGUGGCCGAGUGGUUAUGGCGAUGGACUGCUGAUCCAUUGCGCUCUGCCUCCGUGGGUUCGAGUCCAACCCUCGUCG